GUGUGGCUCAGUCAAUAGAGCACUUGCCUAGAAUGCAUGAAGCCCUGGGUUUGAUCCUCAGCAC
Molecule: transfer RNA, 64 nt
Filed under: Mesocricetus auratus (golden hamster)
Lineage: Eukaryota; Metazoa; Chordata; Mammalia; Rodentia; Cricetidae
Rfam family: tRNA
About the family: Transfer RNA (tRNA) molecules are approximately 80 nucleotides in length.
Source: Rfam by way of RNAcentral